AUUAGUGUAUGCUUUUUUUUUAUUCACAAUAUAUUUACGUUAUAUAUUCACUGUAUAUAUACGUAUUGUGCAUAACGAUGGCUGACAGUAAAUGCAUACAGAUGAUUCAAACAAAUUUUUCAUUAUACGGCUUGGUAUUAUCAAGAGAGCUUAGAGUAUCUUUUGCAAAGCAAUUGUUAAAAAUACCACAAAAUGAACGUGAAUCUUGGCUUAAUCGUAUUAUAGAACUGAUUUUGGCUCAAAAUUUGGAUGAUCCACAUGUUGGAGCCGAACAUAUAAAAAUUGCUAUAGAAGAAUGCUUAGAACCAAAUAAAUUGAAAGACACAGAAACAGUGUUCAAUGUUAUAGAUGGAUAUAAUAUACCAAAGAUAAAAUAUGAUAUUUCUAAAAAGAAAUUUGUCAUUGACAAUGAGAACUCAUAUCCUGAAACUCAAUAUAAAUCAUUGGUUUUUAAAUAUCGUUUUGAAAUGGCAUGGUAUAAAACUCUAAGACACAAACAAUUUCUGUCAUCUAAAUUUGAAAAACAGCAAACACAUAAAACAAAUUUAAUACCUAUUGAAUAUCUGUUAAGUGAGCUGAGAACAGGGAAUGUAUGUAUAAUGGGUCUGAUAACACAAUUAAUGGAAGAUCAAUAUUAUCUAGAAGAUACAAGUGGAACUGUCAAGAUUGACCUCAGCAAUACAGAUUUUCAAGAUACUUUUAUCAUGGAAGGCUUUAUAGUAAUAGCUAAUGGUGUUUACAAGGAUGAUGUAUUACAUGUAAAAACUAUUGACCUUCCGCCAAUAGAAUCGUCGGAAAGUUUGCGAUCAGAUUUUGGCGACACAAAUACAUUUGGUGGCUCACAUAAUAUAUCCCUAAAAAUGUCAGAAAAAUUACAAAUCCACGAAGAAACUAACCAGGAUGGAAUGAUAGUAUUCAUAGCAGAAUUAUGGUUGGAUGUUCCACAUGUUUUACAAAAAUUUAAGACAAUACUGGAUGGUUACAUGGAUUAUCCUCCUAUAGCUUUUGUAUUGUGUGGUCAUUUUUUAAGCUUUCCUACAAAUAUAACUAGUGCGAAAACUUUGAUAACUGGUUUUAAAAAUUUAGUUGAAAUAAUAACACAAUAUACAAGUAUAAAGGAAUUUACGAAAUUUAUUUUUGUACCUGGCCCACAUGAUUUAGGUUCUCCUAAAAUUUUACCAAAACCUCCUUUGCCCAAAUGCAUUAUUGAAGAAGUUACAAAAAUGAUACCAAACGCUAUUUUUACAACAAAUCCAUGUAGAAUACAGUAUUGUACAAAGGAAAUUGUAAUAUUAAGAGAAGAUAUGUUGACAAAAAUGUGUAGGAAUGCGCUUCAUUUUCCGAAAGAAGAACACUUUUUUAAACAUUUUGCCAAAGCCAUCAUCAGUCAAUCACAUCUGACCCCAGUGCCUCUUCAAGUUGUUCCAGUAUAUUGGAAAUAUGACCAUGCUUUACAGAUAUUUCCAACACCAGAUCUCAUUGUGAUUGCUGACAAUUUUGAAACAUAUACGACUAACUAUUCCGAUUGUUAUGUGAUAAAUCCCGGAAUGUUCGCGAAAAACAAUUAUUCGUUUCAAUCUUAUGUGCCUGCCAUUAAUCAAAUUCAAGAUUGUCAACUUCCAAACGACAUCAAUGUUACUUAAAUCGAGAAGGAAUAUAUUUAUAACUUCAUAAACAGGGGCGUGCCUAGUAUAUGCAUUUAUGUGUAAUGUGUGCCAAAGCUAGAGGUAACCGAAGCACGCCUCUGAUCAUGAACAUAUCUUUUUCUAAUUACCUGCUUUUCUUAUAUCUCCUACAUUAGAGGGGAUGACAAGAAUAUGUAUCAAAUUUGGACACAGAUGGAAUAGGACACAGAUGGUACAGACUGGGCCCCAAUUUAUUUCAAUUUUGUUGCGCUGGAAGUAUAAGUCAAUUACUGGCCGUAAUAAAUCAAAUACGUUUUUUAAGCGUAAAAAGUUGUUAAUGUCCAAUCGUAAUAUUACAACAUGAUAAUACUAACAUCUUGUGUGAGCAAUAUAAUUUUAUCCUUUAGCAACUAGUUGCUUUGAUACUAAAAAAUAUAGCGCAUACAGAUA
This 2075-nucleotide unclassified non-coding RNA is filed under the name Acromyrmex echinatior (Panamanian leafcutter ant). RNAcentral's name for it is "dNA polymerase epsilon subunit 2, transcript variant X3". Lineage: Eukaryota; Metazoa; Arthropoda; Insecta; Hymenoptera; Formicidae. The record is from RNAcentral.